Molecule: ribosomal RNA, 253 nt
Filed under: uncultured bacterium
Lineage: Bacteria
Description: partial 16S ribosomal RNA
Rfam family: Bacterial small subunit ribosomal RNA
Source: RNAcentral
GACGAAGGAUGCAAGCGUUAUCCGGAUUCAUUGGGAUUAAAGGGAGCGUAGGUGGACUGAUAAGUCAGUGGUGAAAUCUUUGGGCUUAACCCAAAAAUUGCCAUUGAUACUGUUGGUCUUGAGUAUAGUUGCCGUUGGCGGAAUAUGACAUGUAGUGGUGAAAUACAUAGAGAUGUCAUAGAACACCGAUUGCGAAGGCAGCUGACGAAACUAUAACUGACACUGAGGCUCGAAAGUGUGGGGAUCAAGCAGG